GUUCCCAGAAUGCAUUGCUUUUAACUUUAAAUUCGCGUGCCCAGCGUUUCAAAAAGGAAGUGGUCGCUUGUAUGUGUGAGAGUAUGGGAGUGUGUUUGUGAGCGUGUGUGGAAGAGAGCGUGUGUUUUUUUUCUUUUAUAUAAAAAUCUACACCGUGAUCUUAUUUGAUUGGAGCCAGAAAGCCUCACCAUGGCUCUAAGAUGAUAAGAGGCUGCCAAGCAAGCUGUUUUAGCAGCGUUGAGCGAACGGCGGCUGCUGUAAAAGAGGCACAUCCACUUGUGGACCGGGCAUGAUGAAUUGAUCAGAUAUACUAGGCCGGUGAUGAACCCAGGGUGAUAUACUCCGGGGGAAUGGGCCGACCUGUGAGUAUAGAGGCGAUUCUGACCUGG
Polypterus senegalus (gray bichir) is the source of this 389-nucleotide non-coding RNA. RefSeq annotates it as small Cajal body-specific RNA 2. NCBI's taxonomy places the organism in Eukaryota, Metazoa, Chordata, Cladistia, Polypteriformes, Polypteridae. The transcript has a single exon. The record is from RefSeq and is a predicted model, not a curated record.